This is a long non-coding RNA of Oncorhynchus masou masou (cherry salmon), 253 nucleotides long. RefSeq lists it as uncharacterized. Lineage: Eukaryota; Metazoa; Chordata; Actinopteri; Salmoniformes; Salmonidae. The record is from RefSeq and is a predicted model, not a curated record. The transcript is spliced from 3 exons.
UGGGACUGUAGUGGAGGUUACUGGGACUGUACUGUUAGUGGAGGUUACUGGGACUGUAGUGGAGGUUACUGGGACUGUAGUGGAGGUUACUGGGACUGUACUGCUAGUGGAGGUUACUGGGACUGUAGUGGAGGUUACAGGGACUGUAGUGGAGGUUACUGGGACUGUAGUGGAGGUUACUGGGACUGUAGUGGAGGUUACUGGGACUGUAGUGGAGGUUACUGGGACUGUACUGCUAGUGGAGGUUACUGGG